Eubalaena glacialis (North Atlantic right whale) is the source of this 830-nucleotide long non-coding RNA. RefSeq lists it as uncharacterized. NCBI's taxonomy places the organism in Eukaryota, Metazoa, Chordata, Mammalia, Artiodactyla, Balaenidae. The transcript has 4 exons. The record is from RefSeq and is a predicted model, not a curated record.
UCUCUUCCUUUAAGGUUGGGCUCAGGGUUGGCUGCAAGAGGAACUGCACAAGGUUCAAGAUUCAGAAGAUGGAAGAGAUGCGGCGGCCACCACCCCGGGAAGGACCACCCACCGUCAUUCCCACGGCAUCCUGCUGUGCUCAGCUCCACGUGGGACAAAUACCAGGAGUGCUGAGGACCAGGCAUGACAGCUCUAUGAUGACGCCCAGUGAGUCCCUCUCGUGGACACCGUGGGGUGGCCCUCCUGUCAUUGGAUGUUACGUGGCAAAGCAGAGAUGACCCGUCCAGCUGGUACCUCCCCGGUCACAGGCCCGUCUUCCCGGAGACUAAACACCUGCGGGCGCAGAAUCGUGGUGCCUCCUCCCAGUUCCUGGCUCAUGGGUGAUGAGUCUGAUCCAUUUCACCUGCCGGCACUAAUCAAGGUCAUUUUCAGAUUCGCACGUCCUCCAAGCCGCAUGGAGCCUGAACAGCAAGAUGUUUACCCGAGCUGUUUCCAGGAGCUUGGAGUCAGCUGCGUCUGUGUGAGGUCAGCCAGUUAAGAUGCACCAGCGUCGUGGGGUGACCUUUGGAAGGUGCGGAGCCUGAAGCCUAGUGACACCUGCGCAGAAUGACGAUUAUCACACCUUUUCCCAAUCACCUCUCCCCACGCUCCCCACGCUUCAGACCGCCUUGCUGCUUGAUUCGUUAUGCCAUAAAGACCCCAGGCCCUCGCUUUCGGGGAGGUGGAUUUGAGAUUUUUUCUCCCGGUUCCUCGCUCGGCUGCUUUGUGAAUAAAUCCUUUCUUUGCUGCAAACCCCGGCGUCUCGGCUCCUGCGUGUCUGGCAAAAUGAA